Molecule: transfer RNA, 69 nt
Filed under: Ictidomys tridecemlineatus (thirteen-lined ground squirrel)
Lineage: Eukaryota; Metazoa; Chordata; Mammalia; Rodentia; Sciuridae
Description: Spermophilus tridecemlineatus (thirteen-lined ground squirrel) tRNA
Rfam family: tRNA
About the family: Transfer RNA (tRNA) molecules are approximately 80 nucleotides in length.
Source: Rfam by way of RNAcentral
GGGGUUGUGACUCAGUGGUAGAGUGCUUGUCUGGCAAGCAUGAGGCACUGGGUUCAAUCGUUAGCACCA